GACGAACGCUGGCGGCGUGCCUAAUACAUGCAAGUAGGACGCUGAAGGAGGAGCUUGCUCUUCUGGAUGAGUUGCGAACGGGUGAGUAACGCGUAGGUAACCUGCCUGGUAGCGGGGGAUAACUAUUGGAAACGAUAGCUAAUACCGCAUAAGAGUAGAUGUUGCAUGACAUUUGCUUAAAAGGUGCAAUUGCAUCACUACCAGAUGGACCUGCGUUGUAUUAGCUAGUUGGUGGGGUAACGGCUCACCAAGGCGACGAUACAUAGCCGACCUGAGAGGGUGAUCGGCCACACUGGGACUGAGACACGGCCCAGACUCCUACGGGAGGCAGCAGUAGGGAAUCUUCGGCAAUGGACGGAAGUCUGACCGAGCAACGCCGCGUGAGUGAAGAAGGUUUUCGGAUCGUAAAGCUCUGUUGUAAGAGAAGAACGAGUGUGAGAGUGGAAAGUUCACACUGUGACGGUAUCUUACCAGAAAGGGACGGCUAACUACGUG
RNAcentral lists this ribosomal RNA (495 nucleotides) under uncultured bacterium. Its description in RNAcentral is "partial 16S ribosomal RNA". It matches the Rfam family "Bacterial small subunit ribosomal RNA", at positions 28 to 507 of the family's 1533-position model. The record is from RNAcentral.